This 205-nucleotide ribosomal RNA is filed under the name uncultured bacterium. RNAcentral describes it as "partial 16S ribosomal RNA". It matches the Rfam family "Bacterial small subunit ribosomal RNA", at positions 524 to 727 of the family's 1533-position model. The record is from RNAcentral.
UACGUAGGGCGCAAGCGUUGUCCGGAAUUAUUGGGCGUAAAGAGCUCGUAGGCGGUUUGUCGCGUCUGCUGUGAAAACCUAAGGCUCAACCUUGGGCUUGCAGUGGGUACGGGCAGACUAGAGUGCGGUAGGGGGUGACUGGAAUUCCUGGUGUAGCGGUGGAAUGCGCAGAUAUCAGGAGGAACACCGAUGGCGAAGGCAGGUC